Oncorhynchus tshawytscha (Chinook salmon) is the source of this 369-nucleotide long non-coding RNA. The record is from Ensembl. NCBI's taxonomy places the organism in Eukaryota, Metazoa, Chordata, Actinopteri, Salmoniformes, Salmonidae.
GGCAGAGAUGCAGAGAGAGAGUAGAGUGGAUAGGUGAGGAAGAGAGGCAGAGAGAGAGUAGAGUGGAUAGGUGAGGAAGAGAGGCAGAGAGAGAGUAGAGUGGAGGAUAGGUGAGGAAGAGGCAGAGAGAGAGAGUGGAGGAUAGGUGAGGAAGAGAGGCAGAGAGAGAGUAGAGUGGAUGAUAGAUGAGGAAGAGGCAGAGAGAGAGAGAGAGUAGAGGAUAGGUGAGGAAGAGAGGCAGAGAGAGCGUUUAGUAGAGGAUAGGUGGGGAAGAGAGGCAGAGAGAGAGUAGAGUGGAGGACAAAUCCUCACACACACACACCAAUCCAUACCACCACAUCAACCAAUGCAGAUGUGCACCGUAUCCCC